RNAcentral lists this small nuclear RNA (186 nucleotides) under Diaphorina citri (Asian citrus psyllid). RNAcentral's name for it is "U2 spliceosomal RNA". It matches the Rfam family "U2 spliceosomal RNA". From Rfam's summary of the family: U2 is a small nuclear RNA (snRNA) component of the spliceosome (involved in pre-mRNA splicing). Lineage: Eukaryota; Metazoa; Arthropoda; Insecta; Hemiptera; Psyllidae. The record is from Rfam by way of RNAcentral.
AUCGCUUCUCGGCCUUUUGGCUAAGAUCAAAGUGUAGUAUCUGUUCUUAUCAGCUUAAUAUCUGAUACGCCCGCUUCUAUUUCUUGUCGAUUGCUCAAUGCUCUAUGCUGGCGACUUUCUUUUCUGUUUGUUUUUUAAAUGUGAGAGAACAAAAUUGUAGUUCUUCUUGAUAGCUGUCAAUGAAAU